UAUUUAUCAAAAAAAUGACACAAUCAUCAAUCAUGGCAACUUUCUUUUCCAUUGUAAAGCUCUGAACAAGUUUUGCAUUAAACUGGUUUAUUUGAGCAAAAAAAUUGCUAUAUCAAGUUGUUUAGGUGUAUUUACAGUAUCCCUUACAUACUUAGGGGAACGUUUAAUGAGGGACCGUCAUGCACCAUUGCUUGUACAUGAAUGUUAAUACAGUCACCAUACUAAUGCAAAGAACAUUGAACUCACACUGAGCUGGAGGGUCUUUUGACCCUCACCCAUGACUCAACUUUCCCUUUAGGUGAGAUGCCGUCACUAUCGCUCUGCAUGGCCUCCCUGGAUGACCCAGUGCUGUCUGUCUGUCCAGGUUUGGAGAUGUCUGUCUGUCCAGCUUCAGUGCUGUUUGUCUAUUCAGGUUUAGUACUAUCUGUCUGUCCAGGAGGUUCAUUGCUCUCUGUCUGCCCAGGUUCAGUGCUGUCCAUCUGUCCAGGUUUAGAGUUGUCUGUCUGUCCAGGUUUAUCUUGGCCGCCCUCCGCCUCAAGGGUCCUUUUCUCCGCCUCAGAGUACCCACUUUCCUCUGUGUCCACGCUACAGGUGUGCCCAUCUCCAAAUUCUCGUUACAUUCCGCUCCUUCUCCUGCUUCCAGCUGAGGGUCAGUUUCGACACUUUGGAGCACUUUCUGUGGAGUGCGAGCGACCCCCUCUUGCUCAGUGUCCUGUCUAUCUCCUCCCCUGGCGAUGGAGCCUCCAUACCAAAUAGCUCGGUAAGAAAUGUAGUUCCCACACUCCUCUCCUGAACACCGCUGGUCACAGUCUUCACCACCUGCUUGGUCUUGAUCCGGGACUCCCGUAUAGAGGCACUAGAGGGGUCUUUAUUUUACCCCCCGAUUGGGAAGGAGGAGAAUUGCCUUGAGACUCCUGCUUGGUAGCUGAAGUGUUGUUCUGAGCAGCAGGUAUGUUGUGGCCAGCAGUGGGAACCUGACAGGGACAAACCUUCUUCUGCCAGGUUCCUAAUUUAGUGGUGCUUGGUGUCUUUGGUGGUUCGUCCCAAAGCUCUCUUAAGGGGUGAGGAACCAAGCUGAUAGGCUCUUUGGCCACAUUGUCUUUGAUCUCGGACACCCACUUCUGCCAGCUCCGGGUAAGGUUGGACACCAUACAGAUGGGCCUCCAUAUACAGUACUGUACAAACUGGUUGAAUCAAUGUGGUUUCCACGUCAUAAAAAAAAAAAAAAUCUAUGUGGGAAACUGAUUGGAUUUACAAAAAGUCCUCAAUGUAAAGAAAUUUGGUCAUUUUUUCACCCAACUUUUAAGCUAAAUCCAAUGACAUAGUGACAUUUCUUGUUGAUUUCACGUUGAAUUCAUGUUACUUGACAACUCAAUCAAAUGUAAAUCGAAACGAGAUGUUGAAAUUAUGUCGGUGCCCAGUGGGCAAACAAUCAAGUCAAGCUUAGGCUCAAAACAGGUCAGUGACAGACAGGAAGACAGUGACGGUUGGUGCAAUACAGUAGAGCAUAAUUUGAUUCAAAAGCAUCUGUUAAAGAGAUCACCUAGCACAAACACACACAAGAAAAAUAUUAGCUUACUGCACAUGUAAAAUUCUGCUCUAACUUGCAUGUUUGCUGCAAGGUUCUAUUUUCAUAAACACAAAGACUUACUGCAUUGCCACUUGUACAAGAUACAUGAUAUCC
Molecule: long non-coding RNA, 1684 nt
Filed under: Salmo salar (Atlantic salmon)
Lineage: Eukaryota; Metazoa; Chordata; Actinopteri; Salmoniformes; Salmonidae
Description: lncRNA (ENSSSAG00000085298.1)
Source: RNAcentral